RNAcentral lists this ribosomal RNA (253 nucleotides) under uncultured bacterium. RNAcentral describes it as "partial 16S ribosomal RNA". It matches the Rfam family "Bacterial small subunit ribosomal RNA", at positions 524 to 776 of the family's 1533-position model. The record is from RNAcentral.
UACGGAGGGUGCGAGCGUUGUCCGGAAUCACUGGGCGUAAAGGGCGCGUAGGCGGCGCGGGGAGUCAACGGUGAAAGCUCGGCGCUCAACGCCGAGUCGGCCGUCGAUACUCCCGUGCUCGAGCACUGUAGAGGCAGGUGGAAUUCCGGGUGUAGCGGUGGAAUGCGUAGAGAUCCGGAAGAACACCGGUGGCGAAGGCGGCCUGCUGGGCAGCAACUGACGCUGAGGCGCGAGAGCGUGGGGAGCAAACAGG